UACAGAGGGUGCAAGCGUUACUCGGAAUUCCUGGGCGUAAAGCGUGCGCAGGCGGUUUGCUAAGAGAGAUGUGAAAUCCCCGGGCUUAACCUGGGAACUGCGUUUCUAACUGGCAGGCUUGAGUGUGGCAGAGGGGGGUGGAAUUCCACGUGUAGCAGUGAAAUGCGUAGAGAUGUGGAGGAACACCGAUGGCGAAGGCAGCCCCCUGGGCUAACACUGACGCUCAUGCACGAAAGCGUGGGGAGCAAACAGG
This 253-nucleotide ribosomal RNA is filed under the name uncultured bacterium. RNAcentral describes it as "partial 16S ribosomal RNA". It matches the Rfam family "Bacterial small subunit ribosomal RNA", at positions 524 to 776 of the family's 1533-position model. The record is from RNAcentral.